This 73-nucleotide transfer RNA is filed under the name Sicyopterus cynocephalus. RNAcentral describes it as "tRNA-Trp". It matches the Rfam family "tRNA". From Rfam's summary of the family: Transfer RNA (tRNA) molecules are approximately 80 nucleotides in length. Their secondary structure includes four short double-helical elements and three loops (D, anti-codon, and T loops). Further hydrogen bonds mediate the characteristic L-shaped molecular structure. tRNAs have two regions of fundamental functional importance: the anti-codon, which is responsible for specific mRNA codon recognition, and the 3' end, to which the tRNAs corresponding amino acid is attached (by aminoacyl-tRNA synthetases). tRNAs cope with the degeneracy of the genetic code in two manners: having more than one tRNA (with a specific anti-codon) for a particular amino acid; and 'wobble' base-pairing, i.e. permitting non-standard base-pairing at the 3rd anti-codon position. Lineage: Eukaryota; Metazoa; Chordata; Actinopteri; Gobiiformes; Gobiidae. The record is from RNAcentral.
AAGAGGCUUAGGAUAGCACAAGACCAAAAGGCCUUCAAAGCCUUAAGCGGGAGUGAAAAUCUCCCAGCCCCUG